AUGAACGCUGGCGGCGUGCUUAACACAUGCAAGUCGAACGAUGAAGCCCAGCUUGCUGGGUGGAUUAGUGGCGAACGGGUGAGUAACACGUGAGUAACCUGCCCUUAACUCUGGGAUAAGCCUGGGAAACUGGGUCUAAUACCGGAUAGGAGCGUCCACCGCAUGGUGGGUGUUGGAAAGAUUUAUCGGUUUUGGAUGGACUCGCGGCCUAUCAGCUUGUUGGUGAGGUAAUGGCUCACCAAGGCGACGACGGGUAGCCGGCCUGAGAGGGUGACCGGCCACACUGGGACUGAGACACGGCCCAGACUCCUACGGGAGGCAGCAGUGGGGAAUAUUGCGCAAUGGGCGCAAGCCUGAUGCAGCGACGCCGCGUGAGGGAUGACGGCCUUCGGGUUGUAAACCUCUUUCAGUAGGGAAGAAGCGAAAGUGACGGUACCUGCAGAAGAAGCACCGGCUAACUACGUG
Molecule: ribosomal RNA, 465 nt
Filed under: uncultured bacterium
Lineage: Bacteria
Description: partial 16S ribosomal RNA
Rfam family: Bacterial small subunit ribosomal RNA
Source: RNAcentral